This 534-nucleotide ribosomal RNA is filed under the name soil bacterium LT-P1-27. Its description in RNAcentral is "bacterial SSU rRNA". It matches the Rfam family "Bacterial small subunit ribosomal RNA", at positions 355 to 896 of the family's 1533-position model. The record is from RNAcentral.
UGGGGAAUAUUGCACAAUGGGCGAAAGCCUGAUGCAGCGACGCCGCGUGAGGGAUGACGGCCUUCGGGUUGUAAACCUCUUUCAGCAGGGAAGAAGCGNAAGUGACGGUACCUGCAGAAGAAGCGCCGGCUAACUACGUGCCAGCAGCCGCGGUAAUACGUAGGGCGCGAGCGUUGUCCGGAAUUAUUGGGCGUAAAGAGCUCGUAGGCGGCUUGUCACGUCGGUUGUGAAAGCCCGGGGCUUAACCCCGGGUCUGCAGUCGAUACGGGCAGGCUAGAGUUCGGUAGGGGAGAUCGGAAUUCCUGGUGUAGCGGUGAAAUGCGCAGAUAUCAGGAGGAACACCGGUGGCGAAGGCGGAUCUCUGGGCCGAUACUGACGCUGAGGAGCGAAAGCGUGGGGAGCGAACAGGAUUAGAUACCCUGGUAGUCCACGCCGUAAACGGUGGGCACUAGGUGUGGGCGACAUUCCACGUCGUCCGUGCCGCAGCUAACUCAUUAAGUGUCCCUUCACUGGGGAGUAGCGGCCGCAAGGCUA